This 102-nucleotide microRNA precursor is filed under the name Callithrix jacchus (white-tufted-ear marmoset). RNAcentral's name for it is "microRNA cja-mir-9960 precursor". Lineage: Eukaryota; Metazoa; Chordata; Mammalia; Primates; Cebidae. The record is from miRBase by way of RNAcentral.
GUGUCAGUAUGACUGCAUUACCUAGACAAUUCCAUCCCAAGUGGGCACUGGAUAUAAAGAUACGUCCACAGUGGUGGAGUUGUUCAGGUGGUGCAGCAGCAC